UGCACACAAUCAUAAAAUAACAGUUUUCAUACAUAUUUCCUGGGGAUAAGCCAUUAGUUUCUGACUCAAUUAGGAGACCUGUUUGAAAAAUGACUCUGAGAACUAUUUGAGGUUAUAUAAAUUUUUUCUUGCAUGAUAGAGUAAUAUGGCUUCAUAUUUACCCAAUGUAUUAUUAUAUCAGAGCCAAGAGAACUGAACAAAUGAAUUUUUAUUUUAUUACAAAAUUCAGCUUGAAUGAAUGAAUCUAGGUAGUCUUAAAUAAGCAUUUUCCCAGGCCUCAUUCCAAAAUAAAUGGUGAAGUUCAAGAUAAAGACUAAGUUUAAGGAUCCCACCUCUCCUUUACUAAUUCAACAUGUUUCAAGAGGCUGAAGUAAACUGAAUGAAAACUACACAUCUGUAGCUUUCAUUGUUUCUGCUGGCACUCAGCCCAUGCUCUGUUAUAAGAUGAAAUGAAUUUUGCAGAGAGAAAACAAAUUUGCAAAAGUUUCAGAGAGUUCAAUUUUUUUCUCUUAUGCUUGACUGCGUGUGCAUGU
This 533-nucleotide long non-coding RNA is filed under the name Bos taurus (domestic cattle). Its description in RNAcentral is "long non-coding RNA NONBTAT018326". The record is from RNAcentral. Lineage: Eukaryota; Metazoa; Chordata; Mammalia; Artiodactyla; Bovidae.